CCUAAUGCAAUUUUUAUA
Molecule: microRNA, 18 nt
Filed under: Corchorus olitorius
Lineage: Eukaryota; Viridiplantae; Streptophyta; Magnoliopsida; Malvales; Malvaceae
Description: cin-miR-4188-
Source: RNAcentral